UUUCGAAAUACAGUAGCAUAAGGAGCAGGGUAUUGACUUCCAGGAGUCCCCAGAUCCUUGAAGGCCUUAAAAAAAAGCCAAAAUACACACGGGGAAAUCAUGCAACCCAUUGCAGUGCCAAUUAGUUGGCUCACAAACAUUGACCGUGGUGAAGAAAGGGUCAAAUAACCAGUCUUGAAAUCUUGAGAUAGGUCAGAGGCUGUGGAGACAAUAUUCAUCAUGACUCCACAGGCCGCUAGUCCUGCAAGAACUCCACCAUGAGAGGCACCAGCCCAUGCCCCAAUUACAAAAAUUGCAAGCGUCCCAUAGGUAGAAGCAAGGGACCAAUCAGUGAGUCCACAACCAUAAGCAUUACAGAAUGCAAGGGCUGGAGCAAAGAUGUAGAUAACCAAUAUGUAAUACCAUUUUAGUUCAGGAAAUAUAUGCGGAACGGUGGUUGUAGAAAUGGAAGCAAUUGUGACAUAACCUGCAACAGCAAACCAUGUUGGAAUUUGAUCUUUGAGAAAGAGGUGGGUGCGACGUUGCUCAUCAUAGGAGAUCCUGGAUGUCUCGGGAGAGGAACGGUCAGCAACAGGCAGAGCACCAGUUGCAUCUCUCCCACGAAGUUGAAAAAACAAUGCAGCGAGUGUUCGGCUUAGAACCUUGAAGAAGUUGUACAGACCGUCACCCAAGAUCAAGGCAGUGGCAAUAAAUACCUGUGUUCAAUGCAUAAGCGUUGGUAUGAAAGAAAAGGCUUCAAGAAAAUGUUAAAAAUCAUGUAAUGGGCAUUCUUGUCACCUUAACCUUGUUAGAAAACUUACCUUGUAACCUUGGAGGCCAUGUAAGCUGCCUGGUUUGAGGUCUGCUGGAUACCAGUCACCCUUUUUUGUAUCUAUGAGAGGCCACAUCAGACCCCAGGAAAGAAUUCCUCCAAGCAAUACUGAUAUGUUUAUGAUAUAUGGGCAAAUCAUUCCAACUCCAACAUAUGUUGCUGAGAAAUCAAAGAAAAAUCUGUACAUGUAACAAGAACAUUAUUAGUCAAAGAUACCCCAACGAAUUUGAAACAGAAUGCCAUAACAAAUGGAACUACAUUCAACAAGAAGAGAGGAUUUUGGAAGAUUGAGUAAUGUUUUUACUUGUUUUCAUGUGCUUUAAGACCAAGUGAGGGGAACUCAGCGAAUCCACAACCAUCUCCUGCAGUGUAGAACCAUUGAAAGAAACCCCACAAGAAGCUGAAUGAGAAGAACUUGCCCAACACUCUCACUUGUUUCCUGUAACAGUAGAAUAACAAAGUUCGAUACCCUUACAUGUCAAAUGAUCAUCCAUAUAAAUGCAUGAGGUCUGAUAAUGCCUUACUUUGCUAGCUUGGCUCCUGCAGGAGUGUGGAAGCUGUUGAUGAGAUGCGCAGUUGCAGUGCCACUUGGAUAUGUCAAUUUGAAGUCUAUAAUCAUGACCUGGAAAUAACCAGGGUAAGAAUGAGGAUUAGAUUUUGGCAAAAUCAAUACACUAGGCAAAAAUGUAAAAUGCAGAGAAAAGUUUUAUAUUUCCUAUAAUCAUAUAAAGAAAUUGAAUGCUGAUGCAGGUUGUAAAGUCUACCUUUCGAAGAGGCACCACCGAAAAGAGUCCAAGAAAGCUAACAACAAACAAAAAGCCAAUCAUCCAAGACAGAGAUGGAUUUUUAAAGGCAUCACUAUCUUCAGUUAAUUGUUUGGCCACGGUUUCACUCAUUCCAAACAGAUAACUCCCAAAGCCUCCUAUUAUAAGGAAACAAGGAAAAAAUUAUAGAAUGGAAACCAUUAGUACAAAAAUCAACAAGUUUAAUAGUAUCAUAAGCAUAAUCACAAAUUAGCCGUUUCAUUACAAUAAUUAAUUCAGUUUCGAAACAAGUUUGGCAAGUAUUCAGGCUUUUCUUGACUAUUUGGAUAAGUUAGAAAUAUAAUGUAUUCAUCUUGACAUUAUGUUAAUGAUUCACAGUUAAAGAAAAGGUUUGAUUAAUAACUCAAGCUCACAACUAGCAUUCUAGAAACAGAUAUUAUUCACAUUUUCCUUUCUUUUACUGAUGGAGAAGACUUCUUUUUCCACAAAUCAGAAUAUUGUUAUAAGACUUCCUGAUAUAAAUCUGAACUUAGCAAGUCAUCCAUAUCCAGAGCAUAUGAAUUGAAUUGUCAAAAAAGUAUCUGUCAAGUGACAUACCAGCUGCACCCCUAACAUUAUCACACUCCAGGAGACAGAGAUAGAUGUGUUCAUGUCUCUAAUGGUAAGUUCAAGUGUUGAUUAGUUUAGUAAAACUUCACAAGUGGUAGUCAUAAAGCCUCAAUUUUGAUUUGUCUCUCAAAGACUUUAGGCAGUAAGAGAUUCUUUGUCUUCAAGGAUCAUGCAAAUCUACUCACAUCUGAGAUAAAAGGGAUCCAGAGAGAGAAAAAUGGUUGCCUUAUCAUGUAAUCUAGCAAUUAGAAGAUGGAAAUCUUGACAUUGAAUUUUAGUAACUACUGUAAGUUUGCAACCUUUAAGAACAGAAACAAAACCAAAUGCACAGAAAUAUUAAUAUCUUGAUCAAAGAAACCUAGAUAUCUCCUAAAAUUCGAAAGAAAAGAGAAAGAAAAUUGAAUUUCAAAAUAAUUAAGAGAGAUGAAAUGAAAAUUAAUGGAAGUAAACAGUACAGAAAGUAUACCACUAAAGGCAAUGCCAGAGGAGGCAACCACGCAAGUCUGUAUUACAGUGUUCUCUUGCCUCGUAAAGGGUUGCUUGAAAAGUCCAGACUUUUCAAGAAACUUUGUCCAGGUCUUGAUAAAAAAGAAGCCCAGAAGGCCAGCAGAGACAUUGAGGGAAGGUAUGAUACCAGUUGUAAGAUUGAGCUUCAUUACUAUGACGCAGAACAAAAUGCUCAACACGAAGCUCACCACAAGGGCCCUCAGUGUCAGCUGAUUCCUCCAUGAUGGCACAUCUUGGUUCUCAAAUAUUCUUUCCACUGACAACUCUUCUUCUUGUUCCUCUUUCUUGUCCUUCUUUCUGUGAUCAUGAUCAUCCUCCAAAUCAUGAUCAUUCUCUACCUUGGCGUCGUCUCUUUCAUUACGUUCCAUUUUAUUUUCUUAAAAGAAUGAUUCUUUAUGGAGACGAAGAGAGUUGGGAGUGUGUUUAAUAAGUGGUUGUGAUUAUUGCUCAACGCAUCACAAGCGAAUUGAAGACGAUGAAUAUGAGGAGUUAAAAGUUAAAACGGGUUGUUGUAGUGAGUUUAACCUGUCUGUUUUUUUAGGUUAUUUUUUUUAAUUUUAAAUUAAUUUUUUUUUAAUUUUUUGAAUUAUUUUAAUAUAUUAAUAUUAAAAAUAAAUUUUAAAAUAUAAAAAAUAUAUUAUUUUAAUAUUUUUUAUCGAAAAUUAUUUUAAAAAAUAAUUAUUAUUAUAUUUUUAAACACUCUUUAAAAUAACAAAAUGACUCUAAAUGAAAUGUGUUUUAGUUAAGUUUGUAAUUUUUAUAUAUGUAAUCUGUAGGUACUUUUAAAGAAUUAGACUAGAAAUAUAAUAGAAAUUAUUUUUAAAAUAAUCUAAAAAUAUGUUUUUAAUAUUUUUUUGAAUUAAAAUUAAUAAUUAUUUUCAAAACAAUUUGAAAAUAAAAAAAAUUAAUUUUAAAAAGGAAUGUUUUAAGCAAGUUACCAAAUGGCCACUGAAUCCAAUGCCAAAAGCUUCUAUUUCUAAUUUGUGGAAGACGAGAAGUCAAUAGUCAAUUUCCAAAAAAUUAAAAAAAAAAUAAAGGGAAAAUAAAAGAUCUGUGAAUGUCCAUUGUCCAAAGUUUGUGGGAAAAAAAUGAUAUAAGAAAUAAAGAAAAUGAUAUUAAAUUACUUAAAGAAGCUAGACUAGAAUAUAGUUGAAUUUAAAACAAUUUAAAAACACUAUUUUAAUAGUUUUUAAAUUAAAAAUAAUUUAAAAAAUAAUUAUUACUAAACUCCCAAAAACCUUUAAAACAACAAAGUAACCUUUCACAUGUGUUUGAGUUAAUUAAUUUUAAAUAAAAUAAAACAAACUUUUAAAAAGGAAUGUUUUAAGCAAGUUACCAAAUUGCCACUGAAUCCAAUGCCAAAAGCUUCUCUUUCUAAUGUAGAAGGCGAGAAGUCAAUAGUCAAUUUCCAAAAAAUUAAAACAAAAUAAAAGGAAAAUAAAAAAUCUAUGUAGGUCUAUUGUCCAAAGAUUGUGGGAAAAUAAAAAAUCUAUGUAACGUGCGUGGAAGAUUUAAAGAAUGUCCAAUUAAUUAUUGUAUAAACGUUGGUUUUUUCCUUCUCAACGUAAUUAAUUAGAGAUGAUUUUUCUAAUUACUUGUUUACUAAAUUCAUAGCACAAAUCAUGCAAUCUUGCAGAGAAAUUUGUUAAGUAAAAAUAAGAUAAGCAAAUAAAAAAAAUACGAGUUUACAAUAAAUAAUAUAACGUUAUUUAAUUUAAACUUAUCUCUAAAAAAACAAUGCAGGACCUUACAAAGCAUGAGAUUGAAGAUGAGUUAUAAACAAAUCAUAACCACAGCAAGAUGGAGAGUUGAGGGAUUCUAUGAUAAUUAACUUUGAAUAUAUUUGCAUGGGGAAGAACGUAUGAUCCAAAUGAUAACCUCUUUAUGUAGUUCGCUCCCUCUGGGCUUAGAUGCCAUUAAGACUACGGAAAUGCUUUGUCUAUUUUUCAGCUUCUUUUCAUGUUCUUAGGACAAACCUUCAACAUAUUUGUUACAAGUCUCAUAUUCGCUGAAGCUUUUAUCGUCUUCCUCGACGCAUCUGAUAUUUUUUCCAUCUUUUUUCUUUUCUCGUGUUGGAUAACUAAGUCUGGCAUGGUUUUAUUGUGAGACUGAUAAUAACUAGAAGGCCAUUCCAAUGCCACAUUGGACCACCUGAUAUGAUCAUAGCUAGCAAAAUGAGCAAACCUGAUACCAAAUAUAGCAACUGAUCAUAAGAGCUCACAAAGGGUACUGUCAUUUUCACUUUUCACAUUGCUUGAUGCAUCUGUUCUACUAUCUUCUUCAAACUAGACAAGAAAAAAACUACAAGCACAUAUAAGUAAGGGGACAUUUGAUUUUCUUCUCCAGAAAUGAUUACAGAGAAAAUAGUUGUAGCCUUGUUGGCUCCACGGAAUAGCAGGUGAUUAUCCACAGCAUUUUUGAGUCGAACUUCACAUGUAAACUUCAUAACCUUAGUGUAGGAAGCAAUUCAGCUUUACUUCACAGUUUCUAUUCAAGUUGAUCUGAACUUCAACUUUAUGACCCUAAGAACGCAUCGACCUUGGCAUUUGUUCCCCUUGACAAAAACUUCAUGCAAAUGGGAGGUUUUACUCCUACUAGAGCAAGUAUCGCACUAGGCAAAGUCCAUAUCCCAUCCCCGCAAAUCAAACCAGAAGCCACUGCUGGCCCAAAAGCAUCUGCCUUUGCCUUGUCAAUCUUUUCCCAGAUAAAUAGAAUCAAGCUUCCCACACACAUGUCGAUGGCAAAGUAUGGGCCAAUAUAGAACGGUAUAGCCAUCGCCAUUGGAUUGGGAAUGAACCUGGCCCAUUUCUUACCCAAAGCAUCCUUAAUUAAAUUUAUCAGAAUAGCUGCACCGAAGAACCCAUAACAAAGAUAGAGGCAAUUCUUUGGUAGAGACGAGAAUCCGUCUACCCCCAAUAUAGCCAUGUUUCGAUAUACAGUAGCAUAAGGAGCAGGGUAUUGACUUCCAGGAGUCCCCAGAUCCUUGAAGGCCUUGAAAAACAGCCAAAAGACACAAGGUGAAAUAAUGCAACCCAUUGCAGUGCCAAUUAGUUGGCUCACAAACAUGGACCGAGGUGAAGAAAGGGUCAAAUAACCAGUCUUGAAAUCUUGAGAUAGGUCAGAGGCUGUGGAGACAAUAUUCAUCAUGACUCCACAGGCCGCUAGUCCUGCAAGAACUCCACCAUGAGAGGCACCAGCCCAUGCCCCAAUUACAAAAAUUGCAAGCUUCCCAUAGGUGGAAGCUAGGGACCAGUCAGUGAGGCCACAGCCAUAAGCAUUACAGAAUGCAAGGGCUGGGGCAAAGAUGUAGAUAACCAAUAUGUAAUACCAUUUGAGUUCGGGAAAUAUAUGCGGUAGCGUGGCUGUAGAGAUAGCAGCAAUUGCGACAUAGCCUGCAACAGCAAACCAUGUUGGAAUUUGAUCUUUGAGAAAGAGUUGGGUGCGGCGUUGAUCAUUGUAUGAGAUCCUGGAG
Molecule: long non-coding RNA, 6163 nt
Filed under: Populus trichocarpa (black cottonwood)
Lineage: Eukaryota; Viridiplantae; Streptophyta; Magnoliopsida; Malpighiales; Salicaceae
Description: long non-coding RNA (PTRI_LNC003929)
Source: RNAcentral